Molecule: ribosomal RNA, 440 nt
Filed under: uncultured bacterium
Lineage: Bacteria
Description: partial 16S ribosomal RNA
Rfam family: Bacterial small subunit ribosomal RNA
Source: RNAcentral
CCUACGGGAGGCAGCAGUGGGGAAUAUUGCACAAUGGGGGAAACCCUGAUGCAGCGACGCCGCGUGAGUGAAGAAGUAAUUCGUUAUGUAAAGCUCUAUCAGCAGGGAAGAAAAUGACGGUACCUGAGUAAGAAGCCCCGGCUAACUACGUGCCAGCAACCGCGGUAAUACGUAGGGGGCAAGCGUUAUCCGGAUUUACUGGGUGGAAAGGGAGCGUAGACGGCAGUGCAAGUCUGGAGUGAAAGGCGGGGGCUCAACCCCCGGACUGCUCUGGAAACUGUACGGCUGGAGUGCAGGAGAGGUAAGUGGAAUGCCUAGUGUAGCGGUGAAAUGCGUAGAUAUUAGGAGGAACACCAGUGGCGAAGGCGGCUUACUGGACUGUAACUGACGUUGAGGCUCGAAAGCGUGGGGAGCAAACAGGAUUAGAUACCCGAGUAGUC